UACGGAAGGCAGCAGGGGGGAAUAUUGCACAAUGGGCGAAAGCCUGAUGCAGCUAUGCCGCGUGUAUGAAGAAGGCCUUAGGGUUGUAAAGUACUUUCAUCGGGGAGGAAAAAACAAAACUAAUAAUUUUAUUUCUUGACGUUACCCGAAAAAGAAGCACCGGCUAACUCCGUGCCAGCAGCCGCGGUAAUACGGAGGGUGCUAGCGUUAAUCAGAAUUACUGGGCGUAAAGAGCACGUAGGUGGUUUUUUUAAGUCAGAUGUGAAAUCCCUGGGCUUAACCUAGGAACUGCAUUUUGAAACUGAAAUACUAGAGUAUCGUAGAGGGAGGUAGAAUUCUAGGUGUAGCGGUGAAAUGCGUAGAUAUCUGGAGGAAUACCUGUGGCGAAAGCGGCCUCCUAAACGAAUACUGACACUGAGGUGCGAAAGCGUGGGGAGCAAACAGGGAUUAGAUACC
Molecule: ribosomal RNA, 456 nt
Filed under: uncultured bacterium
Lineage: Bacteria
Description: bacterial SSU rRNA
Rfam family: Bacterial small subunit ribosomal RNA
Source: RNAcentral